Molecule: long non-coding RNA, 1062 nt
Organism: Erpetoichthys calabaricus (reedfish)
Lineage: Eukaryota; Metazoa; Chordata; Cladistia; Polypteriformes; Polypteridae
Exons: 4
Source: RefSeq, a predicted model, not a curated record
CAAAUGCAGAUAUUGCGUUAACUUUUGAAUAGUCUACGCAAAAAAGCAUUUGUCCAUUUUUCUUUGGUACAAGUACCACAGGACUGCACCAUUCACUCACCGAUGGUUCAACUAUUCCAAGUUGUUUCAUUUGAUCCAGUUCCUCCUUGAAGACCUCCUGCAAACAUGCAGGGAUGCAGAAAUACACAGUUCUCACCGGACCUGGGGAGGUGUUCCAACGAGGGCAACACUCCAGCAUCUGGUCUGGAGAGCAAAUACUGUUCCUCUGCCUCAUCCUCCUCCAAGACACUUCGAAUGAGAAACUGGAAGGAAGGAUUAGUAUUCUCAUGCCAAGCCUUUAACAUAUUUAUAUGAAAUGUCUGUUUUGGCUUCCGUGGAUGGUCAGGCAUCUCAAUCUCAUAAGUGACUGGACCCUUUUGUGCUGUCACUGUAUAAGGCCCCUGCCACUUAGCUAGUAAGCUGCUCUCAGAAGUAGGCAGCAGCAAAAGUACCUUUUGUCCUACAGCGAGGUUACGUUCUCUUGCGGCUUUGUCAUACCAUGACUUUUGUUUAGUUUGUGCCUUCUCCAUAUUUUCUCUCACCAUCUGGGAUAGGUAGGCAAACUUCUCCUGUAGCUUGAGCACAAAAGUUAGCACAUUCUUUGAUUCUGCUCUGUUUUUGUCUCCUUCUAGAGUCUCUCUUAGAACACUGAGAGGACUGCGUACAUAUCGACCAUACAGCAGUUCAAAUAGGGAGAAUCCUGUUGAUGACUGCGGAACCUCUCGAUAUGCGAAAAGCAGGAGUCUUCUUUGCUGGCAAUGGACAAGGUUCAAAACAAAGUUUGGUCUCUCUUCUGUUGGGGCAAUUCCUAAGAAUGUGGCCUUUCUGGUUACAACCGUGGUAAAUCACUCCUUCCCUAUAAACUCUUCUCUCAGGUUCUUUGGACGAUGAGCGGCCAAAAACACCUCUGCAAGGUCUGCAGCUUCCUUGGAGGUUUUAGGAUGAUGUUCCUCCACCCAGGUCCGCAGUCUGCCAUCGAACACCUGUAAAAGUUGUUCUAAUAAAACAAAGUCAAUUAUUUGA